This 109-nucleotide ribosomal RNA is filed under the name Neogale vison (American mink). The record is from RNAcentral. Lineage: Eukaryota; Metazoa; Chordata; Mammalia; Carnivora; Mustelidae.
GUCUAUGGCCAUACCACCCUGAACGCGCCCGAUCUCGUCUGAUCUUGGAAGCUAAGCAGGGUCGGGCCUGGUUAGUACUUGGAUGGGAGGAAAUAACUAUUUAAAGUUU